Molecule: long non-coding RNA, 1327 nt
Organism: Anopheles arabiensis
Lineage: Eukaryota; Metazoa; Arthropoda; Insecta; Diptera; Culicidae
Exons: 4
Source: RefSeq, a predicted model, not a curated record
UUUUGAUUACCUAUUACGGAAGCAAAUAUGUUUCACUAAUGUGCAAAAGAAUGGCUCACUGGCUGGUUAGUGCAGACUAUGAUCGGAUGCGCAUUUCCCUACGCCGCAGUGCCGGGUGCAUCAUACGUCGGUGUUGGGUUGCUGUUACUGGGCCGAGCGGAUGCGCGUGCACACGUGGGAAUAAACGACACGCAACCGUGGUAUUUUAUAUUGCAUCGGUACGAUUAUCGUGUUCAAAGGCUUUUUCGAGAAAUGCCAAUACAUAAAUCGGUUAGUCCGUUUAUAUCGGUUUCUCAAACCCCUGCAAGCAAUGGUCAAUCAUUUCAGUCUUAAACUUUUGACGAACGAAUGCCUGGUCGCUAGCUGCAGCUUUCCAUCGAUGUAGGCACACGAUCUUCGAGAUUUUACUUCACCUGAUCUAGCCAUCGAACUCGCUGUGCUUCCUUGCUUCUAGUACCGAACUGAGAGCCGCUCGAACACCUAGCUGCUGGGGCACGAGGCUGCCUUCUUCACAACAUGCUCCAGCCAUGGCAAACAGCCAUGUCCGGUGCGCCAUACGGCUUCAGUAAGCUCGUGGAUGAUCAUUCGCAUCCACACCCCAUGCUCGAAUUCACCGCCAAAGAUGAUCCGGAGGAUGCGUUGGCCGUCGUGUUUCGCCACUGUCCUUUGCAUGCUGUAAAGAAACAUACCUAUUCAUCGUCGGCCAAUGGUGCAGCACGAGCGCAACGUGAUACAUCGUGACAUCAUCCGGAAAACUUGCAGCUGGGGCACGGUGGUGAUCUGAAGAUAGCUGAUUUUGGUUGGUCAGCUGCACACAAAAACUGUCGAUCUAUGGAAUUUGGGCGUGCUGGCGUAAGGCCCCGUUUUUGGCGACCACGUAUGAAGAAUCGUACCGUAAAAUUAUGAAGCUGCAGUUUAAGAUGCCGCCAGAUGUAACGAAGCCGGCGGCCCAUCUGAUCUCGCGACUGUUCGUUAAGGAUCUGGCCAGCCGUAUGCCGCUGAAACAUGUUGCGUCCAUCCCUGGAUUCUGCUGCACGUGCACAAAAAGUAAAUAGGAAUUGCUGCUACCAUGUACCAUAUAUCGUUAUGUUCUCACUAAGUAUGUUUAUAAGAUACCUGUACUGUUGGGAACUAAAACCAAAGCGGAUGAAAUCUCUUGCCAAUAACGAUUUAUUUUCUUAUUACGCGCCAAAAAAUUUGUCCGUUUUUCCGCGAUUGGUUUAGAAAAGGGCUUGUUCCUAUCUUGCGGCCCUUUUUAACGCUUUUUUUUCUGUUACGCUUCGUGCCUUGUUCGUGUACUGGUCGCUCGUUUUAAAACGUCCCGUUU